This is a non-coding RNA of Cephalotus follicularis, 117 nucleotides long. NCBI's taxonomy places the organism in Eukaryota, Viridiplantae, Streptophyta, Magnoliopsida, Oxalidales, Cephalotaceae. The record is from Rfam.
GUGUGCGAUCCUUUCAGCACAAAUUCACGGGAUUCCAUCAGAACUCUGAUGUUAAGCGUGCUUGGGCGAGAAUUGUUCUAUGAUGGGCUUGUCUUAUGACUUUCAUAGAUUCAGGCU